UACGAAGGGUGCAAGCGUUACUCGGAAUUACUGGGCGUAAAGGGCGCGUAGGCGGCCUACUAAGUCAGACGUGAAAUCCCCCGGCUUAACCUGGGAACUGCGUCUGAUACUGGAAGGCUUGAGGAUGGGAGAGGGAUGUAGAAUUCCAGGUGUAGCGGUGAAAUGCGUAGAUAUCUGGAGGAAUACCGGUGGCGAAGGCGGCAUCCUGGACCAUUACUGACGCUGAGGCGCGAAAGCUAGGGGAGCAAACGGG
Molecule: ribosomal RNA, 253 nt
Filed under: uncultured bacterium
Lineage: Bacteria
Description: partial 16S ribosomal RNA
Rfam family: Bacterial small subunit ribosomal RNA
Source: RNAcentral